RNAcentral lists this ribosomal RNA (253 nucleotides) under uncultured bacterium. RNAcentral describes it as "partial 16S ribosomal RNA". It matches the Rfam family "Bacterial small subunit ribosomal RNA", at positions 524 to 776 of the family's 1533-position model. The record is from RNAcentral.
GACGAACCGUGCGAACGUUGUUCGGAAUUACUGGGCGUAAAGGGCGCGUAGGCGGCCUGUUAAGUCGAACGUGAAAUCCCCGGGCUCAACCCGGGAACUGCGUCCGAUACUGGCAGGCUUGAAUCCGGGAGAGGGAUGCGGAAUUCCAGGUGUAGCGGUGAAAUGCGUAGAUAUCUGGAGGAACACCGGUGGCGAAGGCGGCAUCCUGGACCGGUAUUGACGCUGAGGCGCGAAAGCCAGGGGAGCAAACGGG